RNAcentral lists this ribosomal RNA (342 nucleotides) under Diplosphaera sp. MPN177. Its description in RNAcentral is "SSU rRNA". It matches the Rfam family "Eukaryotic small subunit ribosomal RNA", at positions 425 to 770 of the family's 1831-position model. Lineage: Eukaryota; Viridiplantae; Chlorophyta; Trebouxiophyceae; Prasiolales; Stichococcaceae. The record is from RNAcentral.
GCAGCAGGCGCGCAAAUUACCCAAUCCUGACACAGGGAGGUAGUGACAAUAAAUAACAAUACCGGGCUUUUCAAGUCUGGUAAUUGGAAUGAGUACAAUCUAAAUCCCUUAACGAGGAUCAAUUGGAGGGCAAGUCUGGUGCCAGCAGCCGCGGUAAUUCCAGCUCCAAUAGCGUAUAUUUAAGUUGCUGCAGUUAAAAAGCUCGUAGUUGGAUUUCGGAUGGGUUCCGUCGGUCCGCCGCUUCGGUGUGCACCGGCGGCGCCCAUCUUGCUGCCGGGGACGGGCUCCUGGGCUUAAUUGUCCGGGACUCGGAGUCGGCGAGGUUACUUUGAGUAAAUUAGA